RNAcentral lists this unclassified non-coding RNA (904 nucleotides) under Hevea brasiliensis (rubber tree). Lineage: Eukaryota; Viridiplantae; Streptophyta; Magnoliopsida; Malpighiales; Euphorbiaceae. The record is from RNAcentral.
GUCAAUAUAUUACUGAGAAGAGAAAACACUAUCAGUAGAUACAAGAUCAAAAAUAGAGGGAGACGCCUCCUCUAUCCAAGUUCGUUCUGCAGAAUCUAAAGAACAAAAUUUAGCUAAACUAUGAGUAGACAAAUUGAAGCACCUCGACACAAAGGACCAACAGCACGUUCUCAACUGAUUACGAUAAAAAUAACAAUAUGCAAGCACCAAACCUAGCCCUGUUCACAUAUGAGAUUCAACCAACAGCUUAUCUAUUAAAUAUUUACAAUCCGUCUCAACAAUAAACGAAUGGAAGGACAAGUCAACAGCUAGCUUCAAGCCAAACGCAAUAGCCAAUGCCUCAGAGGUGUAUGAGUCCCAGUCUUCUACCACAAAUUUAUUAGCACUCGUAAGAACAUUACCCAAAUCAUCUCUGAACACCACUCCAAGACUGACAACGCGAGAUCUAAUAAUCCCUGCAUCUGUAUUCAUCUUGACUAGUCCAAAUGGUGGAGGAAACGAUCUGCUAAAGACCGCAUCCUGAUGAGUACCAGCUACAUUCUCCAAACAUGGUUUACCGACAGCUGAGAACUCAAAGAGCAUAGCAGUAGUGACAAAAGAAAUCUUCCGUGCGUCAAAUAUAGACUGCUCAAAAAGAAAUUUAUUCCGUAUAAACCAGAUAUUAUAACACACUGCACUAAAAAGAACCAUAUCAUCAUUGCUUAAUUUCUCAAAUAAAUUAAGAAACCAAUGCUUCACGGACUCAAUCUGCCUAUGCAACACUUCCUUCACAGGUAAAAUAUUAAGUACAGCGCGCCAAAGAAAGUUCAGCACCUUAGGAGGGGCAUUGAUUUUCUACAAUGAUUUCCUAAUGCCCUGCGAGCUAUUUGUAGACGUACCACCUUCCAUUGCUGAAUGAAUCAGC